RNAcentral lists this ribosomal RNA (512 nucleotides) under Candida albicans. Its description in RNAcentral is "eukaryotic LSU rRNA". The stretch from base 144 to 297 matches the Rfam family "5.8S ribosomal RNA". Lineage: Eukaryota; Fungi; Ascomycota; Pichiomycetes; Serinales; Debaryomycetaceae. The record is from RNAcentral.
GUGGCUCUGAGUGCUUAUUGCACCACAUGUGUUUUUCUUUGAAACAAACUUGCUUUGGCGGUGGGCCCAGCCUGCCGCCAGAGGUCUAAACUUACAACCAAUUUUUUAUCAACUUGUCACACCAGAUUAUUACUAAUAGUCAAAACUUUCAACAACGGAUCUCUUGGUUCUCGCAUCGAUGAAGAACGCAGCGAAAUGCGAUACGUAAUAUGAAUUGCAGAUAUUCGUGAAUCAUCGAAUCUUUGAACGCACAUUGCGCCCUCUGGUAUUCCGGAGGGCAUGCCUGUUUGAGCGUCGUUUCUCCCUCAAACCGCUGGGUUUGGUGUUGAGCAAUACGACUUGGGUUUGCUUGAAAGACGGUAGUGGUAAGGCGGGAUCGCUUUGACAAUGGCUUAGGUCUAACCAAAAACAUUGCUUGCGGCGGUAACGUCUACCACGUAUAUCUUCAAACUUUGACCUCAAAUCAGGUAGGACUACCCGCUGAACUUAAGCAUAUCAAAAGCGGGGAGGAA